AUGGCUCAGUGGGACGCAAACUCCAUGUCACAAGGGACGUUGUGUUUGAUGAACAGGUUCCUUGGAGCUGGGACGCGGAGGCGGCCACGAAUGCUGCUAGAGUAUCAGGUCGACAACAACAACGUCAACUGCAGGGGCACCGAGCUGCACGCUGGGUGUAGGACGCCAGCGACGCCGGGACCGUUGGAGGAGCCGCGGACGCCAUCAGAAGAGCCGCGAACGCUGGCAACACUGUCGCCCUCGCCUGUACAGUUCGUCUCGCCACCGACAGGCGAGGAGGUUGACACCGAGGGGGUACCUCUACGGUACCGCACCGUGGAGGAUGCCAUCGACCACGCCCAGCCUGUCACGUUGGAGUACAGUGGGCUGUGCUUGGUUGCGGCGGAGGAGCCAGCCAGCGUCGAGCAGGCCCUGAGCGAGGCAUGCUGGAAGGAGGGCAUGGGCGCCGAGAUGAAGGCGAUCACGGAGAACCAGACCCGGGAGUACGCCGAGCUCCCAAGUGGUCACCACGCCAUAGGCCUCAAAUGGGUCUACAAAGUGAAGAAAGAUCCCCAAGGUAAUAUUGUCAAGUACAAAGCUCAUUUAGUGGCCAAGGGUUAUGCGUAG
RNAcentral lists this ribosomal RNA (606 nucleotides) under Triticum aestivum (bread wheat). RNAcentral describes it as "partial small subunit ribosomal RNA". Lineage: Eukaryota; Viridiplantae; Streptophyta; Magnoliopsida; Poales; Poaceae. The record is from RNAcentral.